CUUAUCCCCUCUCUUCCUCUUCUCUCUGCCUCUAUGAUACUGAACCAAAGCGCCUUCCUCUGUGUGUACUGUUCAUUUGUAUGUAUGUGUGUGUGCGUGUAUGCUUUCAGAAGUGUAAGACUUUGCGGUUACAAGGCCUCUGUUUUGUGGCCAGCAGAGCUUUGAGUGGUGUUUCCAAAGUGCGAGCGAGAUGUCAGAUCACACUCCAGCUCACGCCGUUUCCAAUAACCCUCCAAAAGAUCAUUUCCUCCGAGAGCCUCUCCUCAAAUCCUUCCUCAGCCCCGAGCUUGACAGCCAAUGACUGCUUCUUGUUUUCCUUCCGUCGCCUUUUUGUUGCUUCCUGAUCACUGCAGAAGGAGCGACCAUCAGGAAGUGUUUGAUUUUCGGCCGGAAGAGGAAAAUUU
This is a long non-coding RNA of Carassius auratus (goldfish), 404 nucleotides long. RefSeq lists it as uncharacterized. Lineage: Eukaryota; Metazoa; Chordata; Actinopteri; Cypriniformes; Cyprinidae. The record is from RefSeq and is a predicted model, not a curated record. The transcript has 2 exons.